Molecule: transfer RNA, 86 nt
Filed under: Aurantiacibacter aquimixticola
Lineage: Bacteria; Pseudomonadati; Pseudomonadota; Alphaproteobacteria; Sphingomonadales; Erythrobacteraceae
Description: Erythrobacter aquimixticola tRNA-Leu
Rfam family: tRNA
About the family: Transfer RNA (tRNA) molecules are approximately 80 nucleotides in length. Their secondary structure includes four short double-helical elements and three loops (D, anti-codon, and T loops). Further hydrogen bonds mediate the characteristic L-shaped molecular structure. tRNAs have two regions of fundamental functional importance: the anti-codon, which is responsible for specific mRNA codon recognition, and the 3' end, to which the tRNAs corresponding amino acid is attached (by aminoacyl-tRNA synthetases). tRNAs cope with the degeneracy of the genetic code in two manners: having more than one tRNA (with a specific anti-codon) for a particular amino acid; and 'wobble' base-pairing, i.e. permitting non-standard base-pairing at the 3rd anti-codon position.
Source: RNAcentral
GCGGGCGUGGCGGAAUGGUAGACGCCGGGGACUUAAAAUCCCCUGUCCCUUGUGACGUGCGGGUUCGAGUCCCGCCGCCCGCACCA